RNAcentral lists this ribosomal RNA (497 nucleotides) under uncultured bacterium. RNAcentral describes it as "partial 16S ribosomal RNA". It matches the Rfam family "Bacterial small subunit ribosomal RNA", at positions 28 to 507 of the family's 1533-position model. The record is from RNAcentral.
GAUGAACGCUGGCGGCGUGCCUAAUACAUGCAAGUCGAGCGAACAGACGAGGAGCUUGCUCCUCUGACGUUAGCGGCGGACGGGUGAGUAACACGUGGAUAACCUACCUAUAAUACUGGGAUAACUUCGGGAAACCGGAGCUAAUACCGGAUAAUAUAUUGAACCGCAUGGUUCAAUAGUGAAAGACGGUUUUGCUGUCACUUAUAGAUGGAUCCGCGCCGCAUUAGCUAGUUGGUAAGGUAACGGCUUACCAAGGCAACGAUGCGUAGCCGACCUGAGAGGGUGAUCGGCCACACUGGAACUGAGACACGGUCCAGACUCCUACGGGAGGCAGCAGUAGGGAAUCUUCCGCAAUGGGCGAAAGCCUGACGGAGCAACGCCGCGUGAGUGAUGAAGGUCUUCGGAUCGUAAAACUCUGUUAUUAGGGAAGAAAAAAUGUGUAAGUAACUAUGCACGUCUUGACGGUACCUAAUCAGAAAGCCACGGCUAACUACGUG